GCCCUUAUAGCACAGUGGUAGUGCGUCGCACUUGUAACAAUUACGUAUUAGUUGUUACGUAAUAAUUGCAUGCGAAGGUCGGUUGUUCAAUCCAGCCUGAGGGCA
RNAcentral lists this transfer RNA (105 nucleotides) under Rhizoctonia solani AG-8 WAC10335. It matches the Rfam family "tRNA". Rfam says of the family: Transfer RNA (tRNA) molecules are approximately 80 nucleotides in length. The record is from Rfam by way of RNAcentral. Lineage: Eukaryota; Fungi; Basidiomycota; Agaricomycetes; Cantharellales; Ceratobasidiaceae.